This 348-nucleotide ribosomal RNA is filed under the name Triticum aestivum (bread wheat). Its description in RNAcentral is "partial small subunit ribosomal RNA". Lineage: Eukaryota; Viridiplantae; Streptophyta; Magnoliopsida; Poales; Poaceae. The record is from RNAcentral.
AUGCGCAUUUUUGAGGCCUUCCAUGCUGGAACAUUGGAUGUUGCCCGUCUUAACUAUGGUAUAAUUACACUGAUCCCUAAAAUGGCAGGGGCUAAGAAAAUUCAGCAAUUUCGCCCCAUUUACCUUCUUCUUUGUCCCUAUAAACUAAUUACUAAAGUGUUGGACAACCGCGUAGCUAUCUAUGCGGAUAAGUUGACCAGCCGGCACCAAAAUGCCUUCAUUAAGAACAGAAACAUCAUGGAUGGAAUUCUGUCCUUGCAUGAGGUGUUGCAUCAUGCUCACAGUAAGAGGAAAGUUGGCGUGGUUUUAAAGCUUGACUUUGAAAAAGCAUACGAUAAAAUCAACUGA